RNAcentral lists this non-coding RNA (28 nucleotides) under Bombyx mori (domestic silkworm). Lineage: Eukaryota; Metazoa; Arthropoda; Insecta; Lepidoptera; Bombycidae. The record is from RNAcentral.
UCUCGGUAUGUUGAACUUCUAUAGAAAG